RNAcentral lists this ribosomal RNA (717 nucleotides) under Exiguobacterium sp. enrichment culture clone V-S3_20. Its description in RNAcentral is "bacterial SSU rRNA". It matches the Rfam family "Bacterial small subunit ribosomal RNA", at positions 31 to 719 of the family's 1533-position model. Lineage: Bacteria; Bacillati; Bacillota; Bacilli; Caryophanales. The record is from RNAcentral.
GAACGCUGGCGGCGUGCCUAAUACAUGCAAGUCGAGCGCAGGAAGCUCACGGAACUCUUCGGAGGGAAGUGAAGGGAAUGAGCGGCGGACGGGUGAGUAACACGUAAGGAACCUGCCCCAAGGAUUGGGAUAACUCCGAGAAAUCGGAGCUAAUACCGAAUCGUUCUUCAGACCGCAUGGUCUGAUGAUGAAAGGCGCUUCGGCGUCACCUUGGGAUGGCCUUGCGGUGCAUUAGCUAGUUGGUGGGGUAAUGGCCCACCAAGGCGACGAUGCAUAGCCGACCUGAGAGGGUGAUCGGCCACACUGGGACUGAGACACGGCCCAGACUCCUACGGGAGGCAGCAGUAGGGAAUCUUCCACAAUGGACGAAAGUCUGAUGGAGCAACGCCGCGUGAGUGAUGAAGGUUUUCGGAUCGUAAAACUCUGUUGUAAGGGAAGAACAAGUACGAGAGGUAAUGCUCGUACCUUGACGGUACCUUGCGAGAAAGCCACGGCUAACUACGUGCCAGCAGCCGCGGUAAUACGUAGGUGGCAAGCGUUGUCCGGAAUUAUUGGGCGUAAAGCGCGCGCAGGCGGCCUUUUAAGUCUGAUGUGAAAGCCCCCGGCUCAACCGGGGAGGGUCAUUGGAAACUGGAAGGCUUGAGUACAGAAGAGAAGAGUGGAAUUCCAUGUGUAGCGGUGAAAUGCGUAGAGAUGUGGAGGAACACCAGUGGCGAA